GCCCGCUACAGAAACUUAAAGGAAUUCGACGGGACCCCGCACAAGCGGUGGAUCAUGUUGUUUAAUUCGAUGAUACGCGAAGAACCUUACCAGGUCUUGACAUCCCCCGCGAUGCUUUAGAGAUAAAGCGGAGGUAUUCGGGGAGACAGGUGGUGCAUGGUUGUCGUCAGCUCGUGUCGUGAGAUGUUGGGUUAAGUCCCGCAACGAGCGCAACCCUAUUGCUAGUUACCAUCAUUAAGUUGGGGACUCUAGCGAGACUGCCAGUGAUAAACUGGAGGAAGUGGGGAUGACGUCAAAUCAUCAUGCCCCUUAUGACCUGGGCUACAAACGUGAUACAAUGGCUGGAACAAAGGGAUGCGAAGCAGUGAUGUGGAGCGAAACCCAUAAAAACAGUCUCAGUUCGGAUUGAAGUCUGCAACUCGACUUCAUGAAGUCGGAAUCGCUAGUAAUCGCGGAUCAGAACGCCGCGGUGAAUACGUUCUCGGGGUUU
Molecule: ribosomal RNA, 490 nt
Filed under: uncultured Acholeplasma sp.
Lineage: Bacteria; Bacillati; Mycoplasmatota; Mollicutes; Acholeplasmatales; Acholeplasmataceae
Description: bacterial SSU rRNA
Rfam family: Bacterial small subunit ribosomal RNA
Source: RNAcentral